CCGUCGAUAGCUCAGUUGGCAGAGCGGUGGACUGUAGAUCCAUAGGUCGCUGGUUUGACUCCGGCUCGACGGA
This 73-nucleotide transfer RNA is filed under the name Argiope bruennichi. Its description in RNAcentral is "transfer RNA tyrosine (anticodon GUA)". It matches the Rfam family "tRNA". From Rfam's summary of the family: Transfer RNA (tRNA) molecules are approximately 80 nucleotides in length. Their secondary structure includes four short double-helical elements and three loops (D, anti-codon, and T loops). The record is from RNAcentral. Lineage: Eukaryota; Metazoa; Arthropoda; Arachnida; Araneae; Araneidae. RNAcentral also lists the same sequence under 1 other name.